Molecule: unclassified non-coding RNA, 346 nt
Filed under: Hevea brasiliensis (rubber tree)
Lineage: Eukaryota; Viridiplantae; Streptophyta; Magnoliopsida; Malpighiales; Euphorbiaceae
Source: RNAcentral
GUCCUUCAAAGGCUUGCGGCGAAGUGACCUCAUGGACAAGAUGGCGGUCAAUGUAGAGCAGACAGGUGCCGUCGGGCUGCUCAUCAACCAGAUGGUCGUUCCAGAUCUUGUCGUAGAGGGUCGUCGCUUUGGCCAUUUUGGGUUGUCCGAAUUGGUGUUUGUGGCCCUCGGGACCACUGGUAAUCGCUUCCGCCCUUUUUACUCGCUUAACAGGACAUGGGAAAGUAUCCUGGUGUCCUGAAUUGGAAGUUCGCCUCAUUCUACAGUUCGUUCAUAGCGAACUUCGAAUUCAAAAGGACACCAGAAACUAUAAUUCUGGUGUGGUUUUGGUUCGCAAGUCCGCAAA